GUAGAUUCUGUUGAAUCGAACCAGUAUAAAAAUAUCUGUGUGGUUUUUCUAUUCCCUACACUUAUUUUACUUAACGCACAUCAACUGUUUGGUUAAUUUUCCGAAAGAAAAUUACUUUUGUAAAAAAGGCCAAAAUCGUUUCAACUGUGACCUAAUACGCUUUACGCUCUCUAUGUUUUAAAUCCGCUGCGUUUUACUCUUCGAAAAUUACCCCCUCCGAUACCAUCACAUUCAACUCUCACUACCUUGUUAUCAUCUUCUAGAGGAGUUAAAUACUAGUAAAGUCAAGAUAAUACCACAUCACAAGUCCCCCUCAAUACACUUGGAAACACAUUAAACUUUCACAACUAAUUCUACGUUAGAUAGAGAUAGCUGAGUUUGUAAAAUUAACUCUAUAAUAAAUACAUUAUAUAUAAUUUAACCUUUUUAUUAAUAAAAUAUGUAUAAAAUUUAUUCUUUCAAUUUUCUGUCUUUUUUUUUUAUGACAGAUAAUUACACACACCC
Molecule: long non-coding RNA, 504 nt
Filed under: Vigna radiata
Lineage: Eukaryota; Viridiplantae; Streptophyta; Magnoliopsida; Fabales; Fabaceae
Description: long non-coding RNA (VRAD_LNC008154)
Source: RNAcentral